Molecule: ribosomal RNA, 364 nt
Filed under: uncultured bacterium
Lineage: Bacteria
Description: partial 16S ribosomal RNA
Rfam family: Bacterial small subunit ribosomal RNA
Source: RNAcentral
CCUACGGGUGGCAGCAGUGAGGAAUAUUGGUCAAUGGACGGAAGUCUGAACCAGCCAUGCCGCGUGCAGGAUGACGGCUCUAUGAGUUGUAAACUGCUUUUGUACGAGAAUAAUAGUUCUUACGUGUAGGGAUUUGAAUGUAUCGUACGAAAAAGGAUCGGCUAACUCCGUGCCAGCAGCCGCGGUAAUACGGAGGAUUCGAGCGUUAUACGGAUUUACUGGGUUUAAAGGGUGCGUAGGCUGUCCGAUAAGUUAGAGGUCAAAUGUCGGGGCUUAACCACGGGCCUGCCUUUGAUACUGGUAGUCUAGAGAGCGGGUGAAGCAGGCGGAAUGAGUAGUGUAGCGGUGAAAUGCAUAGAGAUUA